AUUGAACGCUGGCGGCAUGCCUUACACAUGCAAGUCGAACGGCAGCAUGAUCUAGCUUGCUAGAUUGAUGGCGAGUGGCGAACGGGUGAGUAAUACAUCGGAACGUGCCCUGUAGUGGGGGAUAACUAGUCGAAAGAUUAGCUAAUACCGCAUACGACCUGAGGGUGAAAGUGGGGGACCGCAAGGCCUCAUGCUAUAGGAGCGGCCGAUGUCUGAUUAGCUAGUUGGUGGGGUAAAGGCCCACCAAGGCGACGAUCAGUAGCUGGUCUGAGAGGACGAUCAGCCCCACUGGGACUGAGACACGGCCCAGACUCCUACGGGAGGCAGCAGUGGGGAAUUUUGGACAAUGGGGGCAACCCUGAUCCAGCAAUGCCGCGUGUGUGAAGAAGGCCUUCGGGUUGUAAAGCACUUUUGUCCGGAAAGAAAUCGCACUUACUAAUAUUAGGUGUGGAUGACGGUACCGGAAGAAUAAGGACCGGCUAACUACGUG
This 490-nucleotide ribosomal RNA is filed under the name uncultured bacterium. RNAcentral's name for it is "partial 16S ribosomal RNA". It matches the Rfam family "Bacterial small subunit ribosomal RNA", at positions 30 to 507 of the family's 1533-position model. The record is from RNAcentral.